Homo sapiens (human) is the source of this 683-nucleotide long non-coding RNA. The record is from Ensembl. NCBI's taxonomy places the organism in Eukaryota, Metazoa, Chordata, Mammalia, Primates, Hominidae.
ACCGGCGGCGACCUCAGCCUGGCGGAAAGCUCCUUGCCUGGAACGCAGAGGGCCUUCGCUGCUGCGGCCCCUGGGGACUCCUUCGCGACGGCUUCCCGGGGAGGGGGCUGAGGCCUGGCAGCGAGGACCCUGACACCCCUUCGGGAGAGGAGUGGCUGCUAGGCCGCUCGCUUGCUCCUGGAAAGAUUUGGGGUUUGAGAGCUCUUGGCCAGGAGGCUCGCGCUGGCCGAGGCCCGAGAGCUGUCCCCGCGGGACGGGACUAGCGAGGGCCGGGGAGAUGGAGCGCAGGCGGCGUCUGGGUUCGAAGCACUUUCCGGCUGAACCACCUGCUGCUGAGGCUGAGCCCUGAGAGGCGGUUCGUGGCCCCCAAACCGGGGAAGGGGCGAAGCUUUGGGCAUCUGUCCCAUGCAAGGGUCCCAACAUCUGAAUCUCACCUCACUCGUCUCCCACCUGUCACGAAUGGCCAGCGCCAAAGUGAUAAAUAUGUAAUAGGAAUGUCUUCCCGAGGCUGUGCUGGAGACUUCCCUGGCCGCACAGUGACCGUUCAGAGCCCACGAUAAGCAAGCCGAAACCCGGUUUGGCGCAGAGGCGCGCAAGGAGAGAGGUCUGUCCUUUGACUCUGUGAGUUGGGCAGCCUAACAUGGUUAUUGUUAAUUGACGGUAAAGUAUCUCGAGGUCCGUUA